Molecule: transfer RNA, 72 nt
Filed under: Streptomyces zagrosensis
Lineage: Bacteria; Bacillati; Actinomycetota; Actinomycetes; Kitasatosporales; Streptomycetaceae
Description: Streptomyces sp. UTMC1154 tRNA
Rfam family: tRNA
About the family: Transfer RNA (tRNA) molecules are approximately 80 nucleotides in length. Their secondary structure includes four short double-helical elements and three loops (D, anti-codon, and T loops).
Source: Rfam by way of RNAcentral
CGGGAUGUAGUUCAGUUGGAAGAGCACCUGCUAUGGGAGCGGGAGGCCGCAGUUCGAUGCCUGCUAUCCCGA